GGAUGUGAGGGCAAUCUGGCUGAGACAUAUGUCAUCCCAUUGAUCACCAGGAUUGAUUCGGCUGAUCUGGCUGGCUAGGCAGGUGUACCCUUCCUCCGUUACUGCUCCAUGUGCAUCCCUCCCGAAGCUGCACACUCCAUCGAAGAGCGCCACCUUCCAAGAAUAGAGGAGGACCAGUUUUCGGUCAAGGGUAUACGAGUAACUGCGUUCCCCUGCUAGAACCUCCAAACAAGCUCUUAAGGUCCAAAGAUGAGAUGGUUCAGGUGGAGAUAGAGUAGGUGAUCAGAGUCAGGACGAAGUUUUAGUAGAGUCAGCAGGGCCUUCUGAUUAG
Molecule: unclassified non-coding RNA, 331 nt
Organism: Cricetulus griseus (Chinese hamster)
Lineage: Eukaryota; Metazoa; Chordata; Mammalia; Rodentia; Cricetidae
Gene: 7SK
Rfam family: 7SK RNA
About the family: 7SK was discovered as an abundant small nuclear RNA in the mid-70s but a possible function has only recently been suggested. Two independent studies have found that 7SK RNA binds the CDK9/cyclin T complex (known as elongation factor P-TEFb).
Source: Ensembl